GCGGACACUUUAGCAGGGCUGCACCGCACAAAGCAACCCAGCCCCAGAAGCAA
This 53-nucleotide non-coding RNA is filed under the name unclassified sequences. Its description in RNAcentral is "RAGATH-5 RNA". It matches the Rfam family "RAGATH-5 RNA". The record is from RNAcentral.